Molecule: ribosomal RNA, 731 nt
Filed under: Odorrana livida (green cascade frog)
Lineage: Eukaryota; Metazoa; Chordata; Amphibia; Anura; Ranidae
Description: partial 12S ribosomal RNA
Rfam family: Bacterial small subunit ribosomal RNA (bases 1-485)
Source: RNAcentral
ACUUACAUCUACAAACGCCGGGGAAUUACGAGCUACGCUUAAAACCCAAAGGAUUUGACGGUGUCCCACCCCCCUAGAGGAGCCUGUUCUAUAAUCGAUAAUACCCGCUAUACCCAACCACCUCUCGCUAUUCAGUCUGUAUACCUCCGUCGAAAGCUUACCAUGUGAACGCCUACAGUAAGUACAAUGGCUACCAACGUCAACACGUCAGGUCAAGGUGCAGCUUAAGUGGUGGAAAGUAAUUGGCUACAAUUUCUAACCUAGAACAAACGGAAGGCUAUGUGAAACCAUAGUUCUGAAGGCGGAUUUAGUAGUAAAAAGAAAAUAGAGCGUUCUUUUUAACCCGGCUCUGGGACGCGUACACACCGCCCGUCACCCUCUUCAAUAGUACCAUCACCACAGUUCAUAACCAAUCUAUACAUCUUAGAAGAGGCAAGUCGUAACAUGGUAAGUGUACUGGAAAGUGCACUUGGAAUAUAACAAAAUGUAGCUUAAUAAAGCCCCCCGCUUACACCGAGGAGUUAUCUGUUCAACCCAGAUCAUUUUGAGCCUCAAAUCUAGCCCACUCAACCCGCAUGAAGCCUCGAAACUACUGCAAAAAAUAAACCAUUUUAACACUUUAGUAUAGGUGAUAGAAAAAUUACCAAGCGCCUUAGAUAUAGUACCGUAAGGGAAACAUGAAAUAGAAAUGAAAUAAUAUUACAGCCACAAAUAGCAGAGAUACCACCUCG